This is a non-coding RNA of Heterocephalus glaber (naked mole-rat), 2443 nucleotides long. The record is from RefSeq and is a predicted model, not a curated record. Lineage: Eukaryota; Metazoa; Chordata; Mammalia; Rodentia; Bathyergidae.
UACAAGCACAGUAACGUUCCUGACCUCACUGCACCCCGCGGGGAUGCCAGGCCGCAGCAUCAGCUCCUGCCGGGAACUUGCUGGAAACGCACCUUCCGAGCCGAGCCAGGGCUGCGCACAGCCUGCAUCCCCGGCACUCUGGGAGGCUGCGGCAAGAGAAUCGCAAGUUGGAGCCCACAUGCAGCUCAGGCCAAAGGCCCUGGGUUCAAUUCCCAGUGCCGGGGGGGGGGCGCAUUCUGGGGCCACCCCAGAUCUCCUGCGAGGAAGGUUGUGAGGUCUCGGGACUGCAACAGCUCACGCCUCGUGUGGGUCUGACUGCUGAUGGGCACGCGCGUCACGCCCGAGGACCGCUGCGUCCGCGGUCGCUCUGAGAAAGGCUGGCUGGUUUGCUUGGCGGGCUUGUGGGUUGAUUUUUAUGGUGCUGGGGACAGAACCCAGGACCUUGAGCGCUUCUCCCGAGCCACACCGCCGGCAAGGCCCUGGGGGGUCUUCACCCUGUGGAGCCGGAGGGGCCUCGAGGAGGAGGUGCCGGAGGGGAGGUGUGGGGGAGCCUCUGUUUUCUUUCCCUUCCCUCCCGUCUCCUCCAUUUUACCUCCCUCGGGCUUCUCAGUCCGCAGCCGCAGCAGACCCCAGAGUGAGAAGGGGGAGGCGGAGCCUGAGGACAGGGCCCUCCAGGAGCGCUGGCCGCCGGGAGAGGCCUGAGGCAGCCCUGUCCUUGCCCAGCCACCCUCGGUUCCCUGGGAAACUUCCCACAGGUCCCCCACCAACUCCAGGGAGAAGGCAAGGGUCACCGGCGCCUCCGAGCUCUUCUUCAUAGGCCCAGGUUGGGGCCUCCCACCUCUGACUCCGCUUCCAGCUCCCCAUGGGGCUCUCCUCUUGGUCCAGUCACCCCCCACCCCGGCCAGGAGCCACGGAGAUGGAGGAGAGGACAGGACAGACCCCAGCUUCUCGCCCACUGUGGCCCAGCAAAAGGCAGGGACCUGGAGGCAGAGAUGGAGACCAGAGGAGGGAGCCGAGGGAGGCCGGAGAGGACUCGGGGAAAGGAGAACUGGGCUUUGCGACGUAAAAUACAAGGAACAUCCUAGAAAAGCUUAUCAUGAAGCAUCCACAGAGGGCCCACUUGUUUCCUCUUCCAGUUGCAUCUUUUUCCCCAGCGCCGCCAAGGUACCGAGCUCCAAACAACUGCCUCACGUCCCCUGCUCUGGGAAACUGGUUGUAAACAGACCAGCCAGCUGCCCCCCACUGUGCCCCGGGCAGCCCAUUCUGGGCCUGACAGGGAGCUGUCUUCCCUCACCUCGGAGUUCCUUCAGGGAAGUUACUGGCGUGGGGGACUGUGCAGCAGCUGCAUGGCUCCUGUUGAUGGUACAGGCUAAGUGAGACCUGGUGCUUGUAUUAACUGGGUAUACUUUUUGGAACUUGGCAACAUUUCCACUAUGAUGUAUCAGGUUGAUAACUGAUACAUGCAAGAAGCAGCUAAAUACCCUUGAGUAAAAGGAUCACUUGGGAGAUGGCCCAUGAAGUGGCCAGGUCUGCAGAGGCGUGGAUUUCGGCAGUUCUGCGCUAGCAACUCCACAUGAACUUAGCAUCUACUCCUGUGCUUAUCGGCGGCGUAAUCGUCUCUCAAGUCUGUCUGCUCUGUCCCUCCACCUCCUCCGCACAGCCACCCCUGGGAACACUCGGCUCUCCCCCCCCCUCCCCCCAUCACGGGCGACAGGUGAAGCGCCUGGAUUGGCCUUCUCCAACGUAUGCUGCCCAAACUCCAGCCCUUACUGGGCUCUCAGGACCUGUGAAGCCUGGCUCCACCCUUUCAACCACGCUGCCCUCCACCCGCUCCUGCACCCUCCAGUUCCUGUCUACACCGCAGUUUCUCCUGCAAGAACCUGUGGAGCGGCUGGACCACAGCCCGCAAGCCUCCUGGCUCUGCGCCUCUCCUAACUCCGCUCCAGGCCUUGCUGCAUCCUCGGGGAAGCUCCCCGCCCUUCCUUCCGGGCUCAGAGCUCUCGCACCGGGAAGCGGGAAGCGCUUUCCCGGGAGACAGGGGCACUGGGCAGUCGCGGAUUUCUAGGAGACCGAGGUCUGCUUCCCACAGCAUGAGCUCCCUGGGGCGGGGACUGCGACCCAGAUGGGCCGUCUCCGUCCCGGGACCCAGCCCUGGGCCAGCAGACACAGGCAGAACCGACGCCCGCGCGCCGGGCUCAGGGGCCGGGGCUUCGUCCUGCAGGACUUCAGAACGGGUGGGUGGAGCCACCAUUCUCCUGGGGAGCUGCUGCUCAGGGCGCCCAGGACACCCUUACUCCUUCCGACUUCCCAGCAUCAUCCUGGCCUUCUCCAUCCCACCUGUGAAACCCUCACCUCCUGCCACAUCUCGGUGCACCUUUCUGGUUCUGCUUCACUGGCCUCAAAAAGCAGCAUGGAAUAAAAGACCUGAGCACCGGAUUCAGAA